Molecule: non-coding RNA, 1146 nt
Organism: Bactrocera oleae (olive fruit fly)
Lineage: Eukaryota; Metazoa; Arthropoda; Insecta; Diptera; Tephritidae
Source: RefSeq, a predicted model, not a curated record
CAUUUCAACAAUGUUAGAGCCGGCUAGUUCGUCACUACUUUGCAAAUUAUACCUAGCAAUAACAUACAGAAAUCUUCACACAUUUUCGUCGUUCACUCUGCCGCUAAUAUACACUGCCGACUUGAUUCGGUCUGCCUGCCUGUAUGUACACAUAUUACUCACCAAUGCUUAACUCCCAAUUCGUUGAGUAGUGAGCAAGGCAGUCGUUUACUGGUGUAUUGUUGAAAUUUGACUUCGUACUUUAUGCACAUAUUGUGGAGCUCGCAGCCCCAAGUAUUGGAGUCAUUCGGUUUGGUCGUUUCAGUUUCAGUUGGAGCGUGUUAACGAACGGUUCGUUUCGUUUGACGGAAUCGCGUGUAGUGUCCGUAUUGUCGUUGAAUCGCAUUCGCAAGCGUCGCACGCUAACCUCGUGUACGGUUCGUUCUCGUUUUUGUAAUCGAAUAAAAAGGCGUACGAAAUUAUUGAAAAAUAUCUGUAUAUUGUGCAAAUAUUAGCACGUAUAAGAAGUAAAUUAACAAAAGUGUAAAUAAUUGGAAGAAAAUUUUGUGAUAAAGUGUGUUAAAGUGCAAUACUAAGUGCGCGUUUUUUCGCAAGUUCUCCGCUGCCAAUAACGAGCAGUAUACCCUUGAUCGGUGCAGUCGGCGUGACAGCAGCCAGCAGCCAGAUUUGGUGACUUCGUGCGUCUUUUUAACGCUACACACGCCAUCGUUGUACAUUUCGUGACGGUCCAGCGGCAACGCCAGUUCUGCUGUAAGCCAGUCAGUGAGUCAGUCAGCCAGCCAUCUCGCUCGUAAACCGAGUAUAGGAGUUGGCAAAAAACUUAUUUCGAUUUCGUAUCCGUUUAUAUUGUUGUCGGCGGCAUCGUCAUUACGACACAUUUGGACGCUGCUUCUUUUUCGUUUACGGCCGAAAUUGUUUCGUGCGUGUCGGUGCACUUGUGUAAUGUCAACGCCAACACCUGCCUGAAAGAACAAAAGCAACAAAAAAAAACUCGAGAAAGGCUGCUGUUGUCGGAAAGCGAACACACCGCUGUAUAAAAAGGCAAAAAACAAAAAAUAUUAAGUAAUCGAGACUCGAGGCAACGAAAUCGAACACUUGCUUAAAAACAGACAGAAAUAAAAAAGUGUCCCAAAACAAAAAAAAAAA